UACGAAGGGGGCUAGCGUUGCUCGGAAUCACUGGGCGUAAAGGGUGUGUAGGCGGUUCUUUAAGUUUGGUGUGAAAUCUCCCGGCUCAACUGGGAGGGUGCGCCGAAUACUGAGGGACUAGAGUACGGGAGAGGAAAGUGGAAUUCCUGGUGUAGCGGUGAAAUGCGUAGAUAUCAGGAGGAACACCGGUGGUGUAGACGGCUUUCUGGACCGUAACUGACGCUGAGACACGAAAGCGUGGGUAGCAAACAGG
RNAcentral lists this ribosomal RNA (253 nucleotides) under uncultured bacterium. RNAcentral describes it as "partial 16S ribosomal RNA". It matches the Rfam family "Bacterial small subunit ribosomal RNA", at positions 524 to 776 of the family's 1533-position model. The record is from RNAcentral.